UGUAGUCAUAAGCUUGUCUCAAAGGUUAAUGCAUUCAUGUUUAAGUAUAAAAGUUUUACUGUGAAACUGCGAAUAGCUCAUUAUAUCAGUUAUAGUUUCUUUGGCAGUCGAUCUUUAUACUUGGAUAACCGUAGUAAUUUUAGAGCUAAUUCAUGCGUCAAGGCCUGUUUGGGUUACAAUAGACCGGCCGUAUUUAUUAGAUCAAAACCAGUGCAAGUGUUAGUAAUCCUUGCGGCUGCUUGCAUUUGCUUCCUUGGUGAGUCAUAAUAAAUGAGCGGAUCCCUUUGUUCAUCAGGGCGACAGACCAUUCAAGUUUCUGCCCUAUCAGCUUGACAAUAAG
RNAcentral lists this ribosomal RNA (340 nucleotides) under uncultured fungus. Its description in RNAcentral is "bacterial SSU rRNA". It matches the Rfam family "Eukaryotic small subunit ribosomal RNA", at positions 21 to 332 of the family's 1831-position model. Lineage: Eukaryota; Fungi. The record is from RNAcentral.